GCAUAUCAAUAAGCGGAGGAAAAGAAACCAACAGGGAUUGCCCUAGUAACGGCGAGUGAAGCGGCAACAGCUCAAAUUUGAAAUCUGGCCUCGGCCCGAGUUGUAAUUUGUAGAGGAUGCUUUUGGUGCGGUGCCUUCUGAGUUCCCUGGAACGGGACGCCUUAGAGGGUGAGAGCCCCGUAAAGUUGGACACCAAGCCUAUGUAAAGCUCCUUCGACGAGUCGAGUAGUUUGGGAAUGCUGCUCAAAAUGGGAGGUAAAUUUCUUCUAAAGCUAAAUACCGGCCAGAGACCGAUAGCGCACAAGUAGAGUGAUCGAAAGAUGAAAAGCACUUUGAAAAGAGGGUUAAAAAGUACGUGAAAUUGUUGAAAGGGAAGCGCUUAUGACCAGACUUGUGCCCUGCGGAUCAUCCAGCCUUCUGGCUGGUGCACUUCGCUUGGUUCAGGCCAGCAUCGGUUUUCUGAGGGGGAUAAAAGCUUCAGGGACGUGGCUCCUCCGGGAGCGUUAUAACCUGUUGCAAAAUACCCCUCGGGAGACCGAGGUUCGCGCAUCUGCAAGGAUGCUGGGCGUAAUGGGUCAUCAGCGACCCGUCUUGGAAACCCGGGACCCAUAUCAUU
This 616-nucleotide ribosomal RNA is filed under the name Thyridium curvatum. RNAcentral describes it as "eukaryotic LSU rRNA". It matches the Rfam family "Eukaryotic large subunit ribosomal RNA", at positions 38 to 664 of the family's 3401-position model. The record is from RNAcentral. Lineage: Eukaryota; Fungi; Ascomycota; Sordariomycetes; Thyridiales; Thyridiaceae.